AAACUUGAGCGGUACUUCAUUUGAGUGAGCAAACUAAAUUCCCGCCCAGCGGGAUUUGUGGCAAACUUGACUUAAGAGAGGUUGAACGGGCCGGUCAGCUGCUGUGCUAGAACAACGUCAACCAAUGCUUGGGUCAGUAUUGUAUUCUAGUCGAAAUCGUUCAAAGUGAGCUUUCUUCGCUCAUGUCCGUAAUGAGGUAUAAGUACUGGCCAAGUGCUCGAUAAACAGGGAUUGCGUUCGGUCAAAGCUGUUUUUCUUGGCAUUCAGUCUCGCAGAUCACUGUGUCUCGGCGUCUUCAAUAGCAGGAAUCACUGGCGAAACACUUUGGGCUCUGCUUCGCCCACGAGCAAGACAAGAUAAGGCGAACCAGGAUGCCUUUCCCAGAAUCCACGCUGAUGUAAAACUCCUUCAUCUUAAAAAUACCCCAUGGUGAUGUCAUCGGGUACGAACUCUCGCCGGAUACCAACUCGGCCACUACUCGGAAACCACCGAGACGACAAAAACUNUCGUGUCUGAAAGAGAAAACUCAUCGGAAAUUCAAACCAUCACGAUCCUACGAUCAACUAAUGCAAGUUGAUAGCAUAAUAUUUACUCUUAGACAAAGAGCAGUUAUUCUAAGGAUAUGUGGUUUUGCUCAAAAACAUCUUUUUUAUGUGACAAGUGCUUCCGAGCCGGGAGCAAUGCCGAAGUAAAUAAAAAAAUAUCGGAGCCUUAUUUUUACUUGUUUUGGAACUUUGCAAAANGUUAUUACCAGGGCUACAAGGAUGUGGUACAUGACCCAUAAAACACCUCUAACGUCUUGGUUUAUUNAAAAGAACAAGUUGUGUUAAACGGGGAAAAGGCGUGGUGGUACUUGCAAUGUCCGUGACACAUUACGUGGAGGAAUGACAUCGAUAGUCACCUUUUGCACUUGUUAAGCUAAAUGUAUCCUACUUUUAACCACCUAAUAAGUUCACUAGGGAAUGUUUUUUACCGCUUUAAAAAUUAAACUAAAAGUCAGACUUUGAAUUUAUAAUGAAAAUGAUUAUAGUCGCUCGUGAUGAAUUGUCGGCUUAUUUUGCCGCCUCUAUAAGUAAAUAGGGGUAGUUUAGUCAUNGGAAUGGAUGAAUGAUGUGGCCGAUCACGACUGGUGUGGUUUCUAUCCUACGCACGUCGUAACGUCGGCCUCCCACUUAUAAAUAAUGGUCGACAGCAUUAUUGUGACAGUAGUUUGGACAUGUGAAAGACAGCAAUACAAGUGUUCUUCGUUGCCUAGUAUUUAUUUAUUUAUUCACGUAUUUAUUUAUAAACCUAUACAAGAGCGAGGAGAAACAGAACUCUGCAACAUCACAACAAGGUCAGUAAAGGUUCAAGUACAUUCAAAGUUUUAUUCUGUCAAGAGAUGACAUGUUUUACAAUAGUUUUCAGUCUUAAACUUCGCAGACUUCGCGCUGAAGUGAAGAACUACUUUUUGUGAAGAGUUCUGAUUUAGUUGUUUCAGAAUAAGUCAUAUAAUGUUGAAAAUACUGGUUUUAAUGUUAUAUCAAUCAAUAGUUGCAUGUCAUGUCGGCUAUUUUUGAAUACUAGAAAAGGUCAUGUUUGCCGAAUUUAAUCUGCGUUAUUCACUUAUUCAAGUAUCAUAUAAUUCAGCCAUUCAGAUAAUUGGACAGCAGGGGUCAGUUAUACAAAGNACGAACAGCGCUGGAGUUUAGUCCAAAAACCCAUGAAAUAGAUACUAAACUGAUACACCUUAA
Molecule: long non-coding RNA, 1733 nt
Filed under: Exaiptasia diaphana
Lineage: Eukaryota; Metazoa; Cnidaria; Anthozoa; Actiniaria; Aiptasiidae
Description: uncharacterized LOC114575673
Source: RNAcentral